CCUACGGGAGGCAGCAGUGAGGAAUAUUGUUCAAUUUACUCUCUUCUUCCCCCUCCCCUUCUCUUUCCUUAUGCCUUCCCUCUUUUUUUUAAACUUCUUUUAUAUGGGAAUAAAACAGGGUAUGCAUACCCUCUUGUAUGUACCAUAUGAAUAAGGAUCGGCUAACUCCGUGCCAGCAGCCGCGGUAAUACGGAGGAUCCGAGCGUUAUCCGGAUUUAUUGGGUUUAAAGGGAGCGUAGGUGGAUUGUUAAGUCAGUUGUGAAAGUUUGCGGCUCAACCGUAAAAUUGCAGUUGAAACUGGCAGUCUUGAGUACAGUAGAGGUGGGCGGAAUUCGUGGUGUAGCGGUGAAAUGCUUAGAUAUCACGAAGAACUCCGAUUGCGAAGGCAGCUCACUGGACUGCAACUGACACUGAUGCUCGAAAGUGUGGGUAUCAAACAGGAUUAGAUACCCGAGUAGUC
Molecule: ribosomal RNA, 460 nt
Filed under: uncultured bacterium
Lineage: Bacteria
Description: partial 16S ribosomal RNA
Rfam family: Bacterial small subunit ribosomal RNA
Source: RNAcentral